UACGUAGGGUGCAAGCGUUGUCCGGAAUUAUUGGGCGUAAAGAGCUCGUAGGCGGUCUGUCACGUCGGCUGUGAAAACCCGAGGCUCAACCUCGGGCCUGCAGUCGAUACGGGCAAACUAGAGUACUGCAGGGGAGACUGGAAUUCCUGGUGUAGCGGUGAAAUGCGCAGAUAUCAGGAGGAACACCCGUGGCGAAAGCGGCUCUCUGGGACGGUACUGACGCUGAAGACGGCGAAAGCGUGGGGAGCAAACAGG
This 255-nucleotide ribosomal RNA is filed under the name uncultured bacterium. RNAcentral describes it as "partial 16S ribosomal RNA". It matches the Rfam family "Bacterial small subunit ribosomal RNA", at positions 524 to 776 of the family's 1533-position model. The record is from RNAcentral.